CAGGAAUUAACAUAUAAAAAUGUGUCUCACUUACAUUGAGAAAAUAAUUAUUAAUUUUGAUUAUUCCUGA
This 70-nucleotide transfer RNA is filed under the name Opisthoteuthis californiana. RNAcentral describes it as "tRNA-Val". Lineage: Eukaryota; Metazoa; Mollusca; Cephalopoda; Octopoda; Opisthoteuthidae. The record is from RNAcentral.